Mercenaria mercenaria is the source of this 5740-nucleotide long non-coding RNA. RefSeq lists it as uncharacterized. The transcript is spliced from 2 exons. NCBI's taxonomy places the organism in Eukaryota, Metazoa, Mollusca, Bivalvia, Venerida, Veneridae. The record is from RefSeq and is a predicted model, not a curated record.
CAAGUGAUCAGUACCAACAUUAGUUGUGCAUGGGGCAUGUUAGGUUCUUUUAGAAAAAAAAUUUGCAGAGUUAUGGGACUUUGUUUUUUUGUUACUAUGCUAUAUACAUAGACACAAUCUUGUGCACACCAUCUCUCCUCAUCCCCUUGACACAAUUUAAUGAAACUUCACACAAGUGAUCAGUAACAACAGUAGUUGUGCAUGGGGCAUGUUAGGUUCUUUCAGAAAAAAAAUUUGCAGAGUUAUGGGACUUUGUUUUUUUUUGUUACUAUACUAUAUACAUAGACACAAUCUUGUGCGCACCAUAUCUCCUCAUCCCCUUGACACAAUUUAAUGAAACUUCACACAAGUGAUCAGUACCAACCCUAGUUGUGCAUGGUGCAUGUUACAUUCUUUUAGAUAAAUAUUCUGCAUAGUUAUGGGACUUUGUUUUUUGUUACUAUACUGUAUACAUACAUUCUAUAUACAUACAGUCCACAUAAUUAUGCAAUCUUGUGUGCAUCAAAUUGCAAUGUACUGUGUCAGUGCAUGCGGGGGGUACAUUCAUCACCUUUAGUGAUAGCUCUAGUUUCAUUUUGCCAUUUCUUUUAUUAUGUAAUACUUAUCAGCAGUCUGUAAGUAAGAAAAUAAAGCCUGAUCCAGAUAUUUUUGGUAAAGUUUGGAAUAAAUAAGGCCCGAAAGAUUUAAUUAUUAUGAAUUAGCUAAAAACUAAGACCAAUAUAUUGCACAAGUGACUCAUUGCAUGUUACUAUUUAUAUUAUUAAACUGUUUAUGCAGUCAAAACUUGCAGCCAGAGACAUUUUCUGAAUCAUGGUAAGAGAGUGGAUGUAUAUAUACUCAUUUUCCAGACAAAAUAUCAUAAAAUUAGAUUUUGAAAACAUAACUGUUACAUCAUUUUUGAAUAGGGAUAAUUAAAGUGGAAUUAUGCACAUUUUUCAAGUAAAAAUCUAGCUGAAAUAGAUGUGUGUGUAAAAAGGGCAGAGGAAAUUAUAGCUUUUAACCCAAUAUACCAAACUCUUCCUGUUACCAGUACAAAAUAAUAACUUUCCAAAUAUGACUUUUCUUAUUUUGACUGGGGCAGCCUUUUUAAGAAAAGUCAAACUGUAUGCAGGAGUUGCUUCCCUUCAACUUCAGAAAUCUCUACCCAUAGGUAAGGGAGAUCACUGCGUAGAAGAUUGAAGAAAAGAACUAUUAUUUUAUUAGUCUGAUUUCUUUAUUUAUAAAGCAUCAACUUCAAAUACUUCUGCGGCAUUAUCGUUAAUUUAACAAAUUUAAAUGCAUAGCAACCGAAAAUUGCUUUUAUAAAAUAUUCACAAAAAACACACUAAGAUGCACAUAAUGCCACUUUAAUGGAGGGCAUGCUUACCUACCUAGUAGGGAAAGACAAGUUUAUCCAGGAAGGAGAUCACUUUAUCUUUUAUCCUAAGACAAGCUACACAUGUGCAUCUUGAUGUCAUAUUUUGAUUCAUAUCAUGACAUUGUACUAUAUGAACAAUUUUUAAGUUACAGUAUAUUUACACAUGUUGCAGAUCAGAAGGCAAGAAAAUUAAUCUAACAAGUCUGUCUGAGUAAGGCAGGUAUUUUCCCAAUCCGCGGGACAGCAUUGACAAAAAAAAGUAUUUUCUCAAUCCGUGGGACAGCAUUGACAAAAAAAACUAGCUAGAACCCUGUUUUCCAUUCAGUGCUGUCCCUCUGGUUUGGGGAAAACCCAGUCUUACACAGGCUGACAUGUAAGAUCUCUAUAAUCUUAUGAAAACAGCUAGUUUUACUGAUAGCUCAUGGAAUUUAAAGAUGUAAAAUCAUUUGGUUUUAUACAAGUCAUUAUCAUUUAAAAUAGGUAUGCUUUACAUUUUUACAUCAAUGUUUAUGCUUUACAGUUGGCGUUUGCAAUAUGACUUCUUCUCGGCGAUAUAUGACCAUUUUGUGUUGAUUUGUCGUAAAACCCAACUCACUCACUCACUAAUCUUGCAGAGAGAUGUAUAUCAUUAGAAUAUUUGUGCAAAUUUAAGACAUGGGUUUUGGACAUACGCAUUUUUUUUCUGUCACUAUGGUAACAUUUUGCUCAUUGAACAGUUAGUAUCAAAAUAACUCACUUACUGACAUUAUGUUGUAAAUUGCUCAUUUUUGGUCUGUUUGUUCCUUGAAUUGCUGUAUAGUGCAAGUCCAUGACAUAUAGAUGAGAACAUUUUUUACUUACAAACAAUACUUGUUUUAUGUGUGUUUGAUGGUUAAAAUAAGGUGUAAACUAAGUUAUAGUAAAUAGGUGAACAUUUAUUCUGUGAAAGCAUUUGUAUACAGCUAUUGCAUUCUGGGUAGCAGUGAUAUUGUGUUGAUUACACAUUACACAUUUUAUAUUGUGUUGAUUACACAUUACGCAUUUUAUGUUUAAGUUAAUAUGUUGAUAAGAAUCUGAUGUUUGCUGUAGAUAUUCUUUAAAAAACACUGCUUACAAAUGUAUCUUCAUGUUAUACUCUAUCAUAGUAUGUAAAGACAGAACCUUAGUAUUUUAAUAAACAUUUUAAAGGUAGGUAAAAGAUUAAUAAAUGGUAUUUUCUAAGAAAAUUUCUAAACUUGUGAGUACUCUUGGUACAGGUUAAAUGCCAAGAUUAAAUGCAAGAGAGAGGAUUGUUGAGAAAAUAAGUUAUUCUAUCCAUGCUACAGCUCAUGGUUCAGAUCAACAUGAAAAUCCACUCAUAUCUGUGAUAUACUGUGAAAAUAUUAAAUAUCGUGGGCAUGAAAUUUCGUGGUUUGGGCCAAAACGGUCAUUAAGUAUCGUGGGCAUGAAAUUUUGUGGUUCGGGCCAAAACGGUCAUCAAGUAUCAUGGGCAUGAAAUUUCGUGGUUUGGGCCAAAACGGUCAUUAAGUAUUGUGGGCAUGAAAUUUUGUGGUUUUGGUCAAAACGUUUAUUUCAUGGGGAUAUGAUUUCAUUGAUUUCAACUUUUGGAGAUAAAAUGAAUAUAAGAGUCUUACUUGUUCACUGUGAUGUAGUUUUAUGGAUCAACAGAAACGUGAAAUCCAUGAAAAUUAGUCCCCCCCUCCCCAUGAAUAUUAAUGAUUUUACAGUACUUGUUAUAGAAAUGUACCUUCCUACAGGGUGCUUGCAUUGUGAGGAUUGAUUAUAAAACUGUUGUAUAAAAUAUACAGUAGUUUUACAAUCAAUUCACAGUUGUAAUACAACUAGUAGUAUGAUGUAUGUUAAAGUUGCAAGGGUGAUUUUCAAAUCUACUAAAUAGGACUUCAUAGAUAGAAUCUUGUGUAUGUGUGUAACCUUUUUAGAGUGUCUGUUCAUUUUUGUUUUGAUAUUGGGUGUAUUUAUAACCAAAGAAUAAUUACCCACAGAGCUGACAGAUUUCUCAGUCAGCGUGCCCCAUUAUUGUAAUGAUAACAUGCAAUGGUGAUUCUUAUUGUAACAUAAUACUGAAACUUUUUUUUAUGUACAAUUUAGAAUCUCAUCUAUAGAAACAAAAUGAUUGAUAUUUUUAUCUACAUGUUUGAUGUAUCUUUAAUUCUGAGAGGUUACCUACACAUGUAAAUGUUUGUGAAUAAGAAAUGGAUAAAAUACUGUGCAUUGAAACCCCACACAUGUUCAAGUAUAGAUAGCUGUAGCUCAUGGGCACACUCAAGCUAUUGAUGCCAUCUCCAGCCAUUUUAUUUAUAUUUACUACAUUUGGAUUCCUUCAAACAGUGGAUAUUUUGUUCAUUUUCUUGCCACCUUUAGCAGUUAAUACAGAAUCUUUGAGGUAUUUUUACAAACAGAUGAAAUGAAAAUCAUUUUGAAAAUUCAUUCUUUUAUCUUGCAUAUUAACUCAAAGAAAACUUGUAUGUAUUACCAGAGUGGUAACACUAGCCUGUUGAUGAAGAAAUAUAUUUUAAAGAUAAAAUACUUGUAUCCAUUUUAAAACAGAAUAAGAUCUCACUACAUUAAAUAUUUUUUUACUAGAUAACCAAAUGAGACUUCAUUUCUUGAGAUGAAGCUUUAUUAACACUUAACUAAAUCAGCUUCGAGGCAUUAGAUACUGUGAAAUCAUUUAAUUUCGUGGGCAUGAAAUUUCGUGGUUUUGGUCAAAUCGACAAUUUCGUGGGGAUAUGAAUUUGUGGAUUUCAAUUUUUCAACAUAAAAUGAAUGGGAAUUUUACUUGUUGGUUGGGAUAAAAUUUCGUGGAUUGACUCAACCACGAAAUCCACGAAAAUUAGUCCCCCACGAAUAUUAAUGAUUUCACAGUAAAUCAGUCAGGGUGAUGUGUUAGCUAUGGGUUAGCAUUUUGUUUACCUGAAAAAGAUAAUGUAAUUUUUCUGCUGUUGUUGAAUGAAAAUAAAUUGUUUUAUUUGCAAAAUAUGAUGUACAUGCAGUUGUAUCAGUUAUGUAAUGAAAUGUUUAAUGUGUAACAAAUUUUCUGUAGUGUUUCAUUUCAUUUGUUGUUAUUGUUCAUUGUUGUUUGUGUUACUUUGUUAAAGAAAAUAGUACCUUAGAAUAGGGCUUCAUAUUUUACCCUUUUCUAUUUCUUUUAAAGCAGGUUAAAAAAAGAGAGAAAUAUUUUAUAUUAACAUAAAUUUUAACUAAUAAAUCUGAAAAAAUUGUGCAGCAGUAUACACUUAAUACUGAAUGCUUGAUGGUCAAUAGUGAAAACUAUUGCCCAAGGUCCAAAGAACCAGCAGCUUUGACCAUUCACAGACGAGCAAUUCAAUGUGUUUUAUUACAUGACGUAAAAAUAUUUUUGAAAGUUUUCCUUUUUAACUUAAUAGCCCAGUAAGCAUAUAUAUAUUUAAUACAGACAAGUAAUAUACUGUGAAAUCAUUUUUAUUUGCACAGGACGAAUUUUCGCGUAUUUCGCGCUAGGACUGAUGCGCGAAUUAAAGACCACACUAUUAUUUAUUUUUAAUUUUAUUUUUUCAUUUCUAAAAUUGAAACGCGCGAAUUAAAGCCUGCGCGAAACAGUCCUUUUUCACAUUUGCGCUAAAUUUCAUGCCAGCGAAUUUAAAUGAUUUCACAUUAGCAUAAACUUUGGACCAGUGAUUUAUAUAAGGAGUCAUAUGUAAUAAUAACUUGUACUUCUAACUGUGAAUAUUGAAAUAUAUAAUGAAAAUUACACCUUUUGUAAACUUGGAUUUGUUUUUUCCCUUGGGGAAAAAUAUACAGCUUACACAAAGAUUAACCUUUAGCCUGCUGGCAGCAAGUGAUUCUGCCUUUGCGACCAGUGCAGACCAAGAUCAGCCUGCACAUCGAUGCAGUCUGAUCGUGGUCUGCACUGUUCGCUAUUCAGUCAGUGAAUUUUCAGUGAAAACCCCUUUUAACAGUUAAUGGUUCUGUCCAAAUUGAAAGACGGACAAGUUCAUUAUAGAAAUUUAGCAGGAUAAGGGUUAAACAUCUUGUUAUUAGGUUGUUUUCAGAUUUCAUGAAACUUUGGUUGCAUGAAAUUAUCUGAUAUUGUGGAAUCAUUUAAUUUCGUGGUAAUGAAUUUUUUUAUUUAACCAAGAAGAUAAUUAAUGAAGUGAGUCUGAAUUGCAGGUUUCAAGUUGAAAGAAAACUGUGUGUUUCUGGGAUUUAAUUUGUUAGGUUGUUGCAACCAUGAAAUGCACCAAAUUAUUUUCCCAUGUAAAUGAAUGAUUUCACAAUAUUAGUUUCUUGUUAAUUGAAGUUAACUCUUUGUUGCAUAUUUAAGAUGAUACCAGUUUCUGAUGUUAUUUAUUAUAUGAAAUGGUUUAUGAAAUUCUAUUUAUAAAUUAAAUGUAAAAACCAAAA